UACGUAGGGUGCGAGCGUUAAUCGGAAUUACUGGGCGUAAAGCGCACGUAGGCGGAUUGUUAAGUCGGGGGUGAAAUCCUGGAGCUCAACCCCAGAACUGCCUUCGAAACUGGCGAUCUUGAGUUCGGGAGAGGUGAGUGGAACUGCGAGUGUAGAGGUGAAAGUCGUAGAUAUUCGCAAGAACAGCAGUGGCGAAGGCGGCUCACUGGCCCGAUACUGACGCUGAGGUGCGAAAGCGUGGGGAGCAAACAGG
Molecule: ribosomal RNA, 253 nt
Filed under: uncultured bacterium
Lineage: Bacteria
Description: partial 16S ribosomal RNA
Rfam family: Bacterial small subunit ribosomal RNA
Source: RNAcentral